UGAACGCGUAGCGGCAGGCUAACACAUGCAAGUCGAGGGGCAUCGGGAGUAGCAAUACUGCCGGCGACCGGCGCAAGGGUGCGUAACGCGUGAGCAACAUGCCCGUAUCAGGGGGAUAAUCCAUGGAGACGUGGGUCUAAUACCCCAUAGUAAUUAUGUAAGGCAUCUUAUAUAAUUUAAAGCUUUGGUGGAUACGGAUUGGCUCGCGUGACAUUAGCUAGAUGGUAAGGUAACGGCUUACCAUGGCUACGAUGUCUAGGGGUUCUGAGAGGAAGGUCCCCCACACUGGAACUGAGACACGGUCCAGACUCCUACGGGAGGCAGCAGUGAGGAAUAUUGGACAAUGGAUGGAAAUCUGAUCCAGCCAUGCCGCGUGCAGGAAGAACCGGCCCUAUGGGUUGUAAACUGCUUUUGUAUGGGAGCAAUAAGGGCUACGCGUAGUCCGAUGAGAGUACCAUACGAAUAAGCACCGGCUAACUCCGUGCCAGCAGCAGC
This 495-nucleotide ribosomal RNA is filed under the name uncultured bacterium. RNAcentral's name for it is "bacterial SSU rRNA". It matches the Rfam family "Bacterial small subunit ribosomal RNA", at positions 37 to 518 of the family's 1533-position model. The record is from RNAcentral.